Small nuclear RNA from Cercocebus atys (sooty mangabey), 93 nucleotides. Lineage: Eukaryota; Metazoa; Chordata; Mammalia; Primates; Cercopithecidae. The record is from Ensembl.
GUAUUCACUUGGGCAGGUCACAUACUGAAAUUGGAGUUAGCACGGCCCCUGUGCAAGAAUGACAAGCAAAUCUGUGAAGCGUUCAUAUUUUUG